UCCACUGCGAAGUGGAAUCUGAAGGAAGCUGGCGGCAAAGUUCCGGCCCGAGGAACACGAACACUAUCAGGCAGAUGCAGUGAGGACGAGUCUGCAUCACAAGACGAAGUCCAAAGAUUACACGGACACGGCACUGUAAAUGGUGCGGGUAUAUGGAACGGAGGUUUAUCGU
Molecule: non-coding RNA, 172 nt
Filed under: Niastella yeongjuensis
Lineage: Bacteria; Pseudomonadati; Bacteroidota; Chitinophagia; Chitinophagales; Chitinophagaceae
Source: RNAcentral